GAUGAAGAACGUAGCGAAAUGCGAUACGUAAUGUGAAUUGCAGAAUUCAGUGAAUCAUCGAGUCUUUGAACGCACAUUGCGCCCCCUGGUAUUCCGGGGGGCAUGCCUGUCCGAGCGUCAUUGCUGGCCUCAAGCACGGCUUGUGUGUUGGGCCUCAGUCCUCCUCCCGGGGGACGGGCCCGAAAGGCAGCGGCGGCACCGCGUCCGGUCCUCGAGCGUAUGGGGCUUCGUCACCCGCUCUUGUAGGCCCGGCCGGCGCUUGCCGACACAUCAAUCUUUUUUCCAGGUUGACCUCGGAUCAGGUAGGGAUACCCGCUGAACUUAAGCAUAUCAAUAAGCGGAGGA
This 345-nucleotide unclassified non-coding RNA is filed under the name soil metagenome. Its description in RNAcentral is "partial contains 5.8S ribosomal RNA, internal transcribed spacer 2, and large subunit ribosomal RNA". The stretch from base 1 to 120 matches the Rfam family "5.8S ribosomal RNA", at positions 35 to 154 of the family's 154-position model. The record is from RNAcentral.